Molecule: ribosomal RNA, 474 nt
Filed under: uncultured bacterium
Lineage: Bacteria
Description: bacterial SSU rRNA
Rfam family: Bacterial small subunit ribosomal RNA
Source: RNAcentral
GAUGAACGCUGGCGGCGUGCUUAACACAUGCAAGUCGAACGAAGCACUCUAUUUGAUUUUCUUCGGGAAUGAUUAUUUUGUGACUGAGUGGCGGACGGGUGAGUAACGCGUGGGUAACCUGCCUCAUACAGGGGGGAUAACAGUUGGAAACGGCUGCUAAUACCGCAUAAGCGCACGGUACCGCAUGGUACAGUGUGAAAAACUCCGGUGGUAUGAGAUGGACCCGCGUCUGAUUAGCUAGUUGGCAGGGCAACGGCCUACCAAGGCGACGAUCAGUAGCCGACCUGAGAGGGUGACCGGCACAUUGGGACUGAGACACGGGCCCAAAACUCCUACGGGAGGCAGCAGUGGGGAAUAUUGCACAAUGGGGGAAACCCUGAUGCAGCGACGCCGCGUGAGCGAAGAAGUAUUUCGGAUGUAAAGCUCUAUCAGCAGGGANAGAAAUGACGGUACCUGACUAAGAGCACGGCUAAA